This 408-nucleotide ribosomal RNA is filed under the name Amaurobioides africana. Its description in RNAcentral is "partial 16S ribosomal RNA". Lineage: Eukaryota; Metazoa; Arthropoda; Arachnida; Araneae; Anyphaenidae. The record is from RNAcentral.
UCUAUUAGAACUAAUUAAUAGUAAAAUCUGCUCAAUGAUAUUAAAUAGCCGCUAUUAUUGUGCUAAGGUAGCAUAAUCAUUUGUCUUUUAAUUAAAGACUAGAAUAAAAGAUUAAACAUUUUAAUUAAUUUAUCAAAAUUAAAUAUUAAAUUUAUUUUAAAUGUAAAAAAACAUUUAUAUAUUAGGAAGACGACAAGACCCUAUUAAACUUUACUAAAGUUUAACUGGGGCAGUUAAUUAAUUAUUAUUUUAAUUAUAUUACAAAAUAAAUCAGACCCUAUAAAAUAGAUUAAAUGACCAAGUUACUAUAGGGAUAACAGUGUAAUAUUAAUUUAAAGAUCUUAUUAAAAUAAAAGAUUACAACCUCGAUGUUGAAUUAAUAACCUAUAUUAUAAAUAAUAAAAGGAA